This 1335-nucleotide long non-coding RNA is filed under the name Vigna radiata. RNAcentral's name for it is "long non-coding RNA (VRAD_LNC018504)". The record is from RNAcentral. Lineage: Eukaryota; Viridiplantae; Streptophyta; Magnoliopsida; Fabales; Fabaceae.
UUUGAUGAAAGGAAGAGAGCAUAACUAGGGGUUCAAAUUCCCUCUAACGCUUUUUGCAAUUCAAACUAGCUUGAACCCGAGAAGCUGCAGAAGAUGAGUAUGAAAGGUAUAUGGUUGGAUGAUUAUCUGUGGGCAACAUUAGCGUUUGAGUUUUUCUCACUUUGGGAGGUGUUGUUAGUAUCUAAACAUGCAUGGCUCGCAAGGGCUGCCCCAAUUGUUGCGCAUAGUAAACUUGAUUUGGAGAGGUGGAAAGGUUCGGGUAGGACGGAUUGCCCUAAUUUGGUGAUUCUUGAUUGACGGGGAGACUUCACACAUUUUUUUUUAUUUGUUCGAUGUUUUUGUUUUCUUUCCCUCUUUUUUUUGGAGUGAUUGUGUCAUUCACCACAUCAUUUCGUUUCAGAGUUAAAUUCGUGAGAAAGAUUAGGACAAAUAGUCUUCAGUCAGCGUGGACUUUUAUUGGCUUGUACUGUGGCUAAAGGUCAAAGGGUUUUGAAAUAAAUGGAUAAUGAAGGCACAAAUAAGUGUUUGGCAGUCAAAUUGUUUCAACAAGAAUCAUUUGCAAGGUGUCGAGUCAAUUAUCCCUAGAGAUUUGAAACUUUGGGCAUCCUUUUAUUUUCAUUGUUUAUUUUUUCUUCUUUUCUUCCCCUUUUGGGUUGCUUGCUUCGUUGUCUCUGUUGUGUACUUCUUUGAAACUUUAUUUUUUUUCAUUUCUUUUUCCUUUUUUUUUUCAGAAAUUCUCUCCUUGAUUUUGGAUGCCCUUGAUGUACCCUUUAGGUUGACGUCGAUGUGCUAAUGAUUCUUGUCAAGGGUGAUGAAAACAAUUAUAAUUUAUGGCUCAACAAGGGUGCAAUUGGAUAAACUUCUUUUGACGUUUGGGUAAAGAAAAAUGGCCAUACUUCACUCUGAAUCAUUGCUUGCCUUACUUUCUCGCAACUUUAACCCUAAAAUAAAACUCUGUAGUGGUGACACAUCGACCUCAUUAUUUUUCUUUCCCUUAUUUUUUUUAUUUAUUUUUUAUCUCCCCAAUCAACAUAUCGUUAGGGAUGUGUACCAUGAUGGACACUGCCCCAGAAUUAUAUUCAUGACAAUCUUUUGUUUUAAUGGGAAACGAAAAGGUUGAGGGUUCAAGUAGUAUGAAUACAGAUGCUCUAGCAGGAAAAGAACGAUGGUUACCCCCAAAACCUUGCAUCAAGAGGAAACCCAUCUUUGAUAUUUUUCAAAACUUAUUUUGCUUUUGCUUUCUGAAAACACGAUGCCCUUGACAACCUUAUUGACAACGAAUUCAACAUAUGUCUUUUCUUUUGCUUUUUCUCUUUUCUUUUUUUUUUGUUCACG